Molecule: transfer RNA, 22 nt
Filed under: Pternopetalum davidii
Lineage: Eukaryota; Viridiplantae; Streptophyta; Magnoliopsida; Apiales; Apiaceae
Description: partial tRNA-Phe
Source: RNAcentral
GUUGGGAUAGCUCAGCUGGUAG